RNAcentral lists this ribosomal RNA (198 nucleotides) under uncultured bacterium. Its description in RNAcentral is "partial 16S ribosomal RNA". It matches the Rfam family "Bacterial small subunit ribosomal RNA", at positions 328 to 539 of the family's 1533-position model. The record is from RNAcentral.
ACGCUCGACACCUACGGGAGGAAGCAGUGGGGAAUAUUGCACAAUGGGGGAAACCCUGAUGCAGCGACGCCGCGUGGAGGAAGAAGGUCUUCGGAUUGUAAACUCCUGUUGUUGGGGAAAAAGAGGAUGGUACCCAACAAGGAAGUGACGGCUAACUACGUGCCAGUAGCCGCGGUAAUCUGAGCGGGCUGGCAAGGC